UAUAGAGGUCUCAAGCGUUGUUCGGAUUCAUUGGGCGUAAAGGGUGCGUAGGCGGCGCGGUAAGUCGGGUGUGAAAUCUUGGAGCUUAACUCCGAAACUGCAUUCGAUACUGCCGUGCUUGAGGACUGGAGAGGAGACUGGAAUUUACGGUGUAGCGGUGAAAUGCGUAGAUAUCGUAAGGAAGACCAGUGGCGAAGGCGACUACCUGGCCUGUUCUUGACGCUGAGGCGCGAAAGCUAGGGGAGCAAACGGG
This 253-nucleotide ribosomal RNA is filed under the name uncultured bacterium. RNAcentral describes it as "partial 16S ribosomal RNA". It matches the Rfam family "Bacterial small subunit ribosomal RNA", at positions 524 to 776 of the family's 1533-position model. The record is from RNAcentral.